This 432-nucleotide ribosomal RNA is filed under the name uncultured bacterium. Its description in RNAcentral is "partial 16S ribosomal RNA". It matches the Rfam family "Bacterial small subunit ribosomal RNA", at positions 29 to 507 of the family's 1533-position model. The record is from RNAcentral.
ACGAACGCUGGCGGCAGGCCUAACACCUGCAAGUCGAACGAAGUCUUCGGACUUAGUGGCGCACGGGUGAGUAACACGUGGGAAUAUACCUUACGCUGGGGGAUAACAUCGGGAAACUGAUGCUAAUACCGCAUACGCCCUUCGGGGGAAAGAUUUAUCGGCGAAAGAUUAGCCCGCGUCCGAUUAGCUAGUUGGUGAGGUAAUGGCUCACCAAGGCUCCGAUCGGUAGCUGGUCUGAGAGGAUGACCAGCCACACUGGGACUGAGACACGGCCCAGACUCCUACGGGAGGCAGCAGUGGGGAAUAUUGGACAAUGGGCGCAAGCCUGAUCCAGCCAUGCCGCGUGAGUGAUGAAGGCCUUAGGGUUGUAAAGCUCUUUCACCCACGACGAUGAUGACGGUAGUGGGAGAAGAAGCCCCGGCUAACUUCGUG